GACGGAGGACUCAAGCGUUACCCGGAAUCAUUGGGCGUAAAGCGUGUGUAGGUGGUUUAGUAAGUGGGAUGUGAAAUUGUAUGGCUCAACCGUACAACUGUGUCCCAAACUACUAAACUUGAGGAUGGUAUAGGUGAGUGGAAUUUCUGGUGUAGGAGUGAAAUCCGUAGAUAUCAGAAGGAACACCAAUGGCGAAAGCAGCUCACUGGGCCAUUCCUGACACUGAGACACGAAAGCGUGGGGAGCGAACCGG
This 253-nucleotide ribosomal RNA is filed under the name uncultured bacterium. RNAcentral describes it as "partial 16S ribosomal RNA". It matches the Rfam family "Bacterial small subunit ribosomal RNA", at positions 524 to 776 of the family's 1533-position model. The record is from RNAcentral.